Myotis davidii is the source of this 494-nucleotide long non-coding RNA. RefSeq lists it as uncharacterized. The transcript is spliced from 2 exons. Lineage: Eukaryota; Metazoa; Chordata; Mammalia; Chiroptera; Vespertilionidae. The record is from RefSeq and is a predicted model, not a curated record.
CUGUUGGGGUGGGGGUGAGGGUGCUGAGGCUUCCCCCAUCCCCCACUCAUCUCUUCAGGACACCUGCACCCACAGGGCUGAGUGGUGGAGGUGAGUACCCUGCUUCUAGAACCCCAAGCCUAUGCUGUACUCAGACCCCCACCUCAGCCCACAGCUGGGGAUAGAGGGACCAAGCCGUCGGGCAAUUAAGGAAAAGGAAGUUGAGGUCACCCUGCAAUUACUCUGGACUCUGACCCACUGAUGUUCCCCCUGGACAGGCUGGAGGCCUUGGCCAUGGGUAGUGGGGGCCGCAGGAGCCGGACUGUGUGCCUGCAGCAGUGAGGACAAGUCUCCACGUGGCUCUGAGUCCAAGCCAUGUGUCCAGCCUUUUGACCCUGGGGCUGCAGCCUUGACCACCAACAGCAGCAGUGGAUCCUGGAGACCUGAGCACCUGGAGUUCUUCUCCACCAUGGGGGAUGAGCAGGCAGGUGUCUGACCACUGAGACAGGCAGAAG